Molecule: transfer RNA, 72 nt
Filed under: Camelus bactrianus (Bactrian camel)
Lineage: Eukaryota; Metazoa; Chordata; Mammalia; Artiodactyla; Camelidae
Also listed under: 1 other name
Rfam family: tRNA
About the family: Transfer RNA (tRNA) molecules are approximately 80 nucleotides in length. Their secondary structure includes four short double-helical elements and three loops (D, anti-codon, and T loops). Further hydrogen bonds mediate the characteristic L-shaped molecular structure. tRNAs have two regions of fundamental functional importance: the anti-codon, which is responsible for specific mRNA codon recognition, and the 3' end, to which the tRNAs corresponding amino acid is attached (by aminoacyl-tRNA synthetases). tRNAs cope with the degeneracy of the genetic code in two manners: having more than one tRNA (with a specific anti-codon) for a particular amino acid; and 'wobble' base-pairing, i.e. permitting non-standard base-pairing at the 3rd anti-codon position.
Source: Rfam by way of RNAcentral
GAGGAUAUAGCUCAGGUGGUAAAGCACAUGCUUAUCAUGCAUGAGGUCCUGGAUUCAACCCCCAGUACCUCU